AAUAUUAUAUUUCUGUUUGCCCUAAAAAUGCAAUGGUUUCUUAUGUCUUUCAGCCUCAAGCUUUAUUCCAGGAAGGUAAUUCUGAAGAUACCUAUCUUCUUGAGAGUGAAAUUUUAUGAAAUCCUAGAUUUCUCCUACCUAGGAAUAACGCAGGUCAUCAAAACUGAAAGCAUUGUAGGGGAUGAGGAGAAUGAGAACAAUACAAAAAUAGACACAUCCUUAAACGUAAGCCUGGUUUUGCUGGAAAAACAUCAAGAAAGGAAGAACAAGAGCCAAAAUUAACCAAACCGUAUUCCCUCGAUAAGCCUGCAUGUUGUGAAUGAUUGUUUUGAAUAAAGAAAUAUUGAAUUAUUUUCAGCAUCUUCUGGUUAAGGAAACUGUAUACCUUCUCAAAGAUUUUGAAGCCUAAAUUGGUUACAUAUUUGACUUAUUAAGAAGUAAGCCUCAAUUGUGUGAAUAAUUAUAUACUCUGGGUGACUUUGGCCUUCUUUUAUCCCAUUUAAAUAAGGUAUUAU
RNAcentral lists this long non-coding RNA (515 nucleotides) under Aotus nancymaae (Ma's night monkey). Its description in RNAcentral is "lncRNA (ENSANAG00000039154.1)". Lineage: Eukaryota; Metazoa; Chordata; Mammalia; Primates; Aotidae. The record is from RNAcentral.